GCUUUUAAAGGAUAAAAGUUAUCUACUGGUCUUAGGCUCCUGACAUUCAUGGUGCAACUCCAUGUAAAAGCU
Molecule: transfer RNA, 72 nt
Filed under: Idiocranium cf. russeli BMNH 2008.409
Lineage: Eukaryota; Metazoa; Chordata; Amphibia; Gymnophiona; Indotyphlidae
Description: tRNA-Leu
Source: RNAcentral